RNAcentral lists this ribosomal RNA (478 nucleotides) under uncultured bacterium. RNAcentral describes it as "partial 16S ribosomal RNA". It matches the Rfam family "Bacterial small subunit ribosomal RNA", at positions 28 to 523 of the family's 1533-position model. The record is from RNAcentral.
GACGCACGCUGGCGGCGUGCUUAACACAUGCAAGUCGAACGGUAAGGCCCUUCGGGGUACACGAGUGGCGAACGGGUGAGUAACACGUGGGUGAUCUGCCCUGCACUUCGGGAUAAGCCUGGGAAACUGGGUCUAAUACCGGAUAGGACCACUGCCUGCAUGGGUGGUGGUGGAAAGCUUUUGCGGUGUGGGAUGGGCCCGCGGCCUAUCAGCUUGUAGGUGGGGUGAUGGCCUACCAAGGCGACGACGGGUAGCCGGCCUGAGAGGGUGACCGGCCACACUGGGACUGAGAUACGGCCCAGACUCCUACGGGAGGCAGCAGUGGGGAAUAUUGCACAAUGGGCGUAAGCCUGAUGCAGCGACGCCGCGUGAGGGAUGACGGCCUUCGGGUUGUAAACCUCUUUCAGCACCGACGAAGCGCAAGUGACGGUAGGUGCAGAAGAAGGACCGGCCAACUACGUGCCAGCCGCCGCGGUAA